Molecule: ribosomal RNA, 234 nt
Filed under: uncultured bacterium
Lineage: Bacteria
Description: partial 16S ribosomal RNA
Rfam family: Bacterial small subunit ribosomal RNA
Source: RNAcentral
CGGCGGACGGGUGAGUAAUGCCUAGGAAUCUGCUGGUAGGUGGGGAUAACGUCCGGAAACGGGCGCUAAUACCGCAUACGUCCUGAGGGAGAAAGUGGGGGAUCUUCGGACCUCACGCUAUCAGAUGAGCCUAGGUCGGAUUAGCUAGUUGGUGGGGUAAAGGCCUACCAAGGCGACGAUCCGUAACUGGUCUGAGAGGAUGAUCAGUCACACUGGAACUGAGACACGGUCCAG